Molecule: long non-coding RNA, 622 nt
Organism: Parasteatoda tepidariorum (common house spider)
Lineage: Eukaryota; Metazoa; Arthropoda; Arachnida; Araneae; Theridiidae
Source: RefSeq, a predicted model, not a curated record
AAUAAGUUGAGAGAGUGUAAAAGAAAAUUUUAAAAAAAAAAUUAUAUGAUUACAUUGAGAAAAAAAUUUUAGUUUGGUAGGUUUCAAUAUUAGAAAUAAAACUGCAGAAGGAAAAAUAAUAUAUUUAAUUUUAAUGUCAUGUAAAUUUGAAAAUUUAGUUGGUCUGAAAAAUUUCGUAACUGUAACUGCGAUUUCUACUUAAAGCUCCGUAAGUUGUUUUGUUUUCCUGCUACUUCUUGUUUUUUGUGUUGUGUAAUAUACUUUGCUCCAUAUAAAAAAAAUUAACUUCCAGCAACAAAACUGUGAAAGGAUUCAUACAAAUUUAAGGUUCACAAUUCAGAGGAUGUACUGAAUCAUAAAUAUCUGAAUAUGUUUAAAAGUUUAUCUCAUCUUUUAAACUUUUUCUUUGGUCUGGCAUGGGAGUCUCGUAUUAGACUUCCAGUUUUAUUGACUGUAUGGUUCAUGGUUUUGGAUGUGCGGAUGCAACUGGAAAUUAAUGUAAAUCUUGGUCCAUGAGAACUUGUCUCAUUUUUUGUUUUUCAAGUUGUUUUAUGAUUAUCAUGUAUAUUUCUGGAACUGUGUAACUUAUUCAAUGUGGAAUAAAUUAAGUGUAUACUGAGUA